RNAcentral lists this ribosomal RNA (371 nucleotides) under uncultured Glomeromycotina. RNAcentral describes it as "LSU rRNA". The record is from RNAcentral. Lineage: Eukaryota; Fungi; Glomeromycota.
UUGAAAGGGAAACGAUUGAAGUCAGUCGUACCGACGAGAAAUCAGCUUAUCGUGUGUUAACUUGUGGGCGUGCGUGAGUUUCGGCCUCGCUGUUUGCAUGUUUGUGCGCUUUGGGUGUACUUUUUCGUAUGGUUGGCCAACAUCAGUUUCGAUCACUAUAAAAUGACUGGCGGAAUGUAGCUUCGAUUUCGGUUGAAGUGUUAUAGCCUCUGGUAGAUGUGGUGAUUGGGACUGAGGAUUGCAACGAAUAUCCUUUGGGCUAUCCGUCUGAUCUCUGAAAGUUGCUUAGGUGCCGAAAGCGUGCUUACGGUUAUUUAAGUUGACGGUCAAAAGGUUAGAACGUGAUUACAUUCGUUAAGGAUGUUGACGUA